GGCUCUAUGGUGUAAUGGUUAGCACUCUGGACUCUGAAUCCAGCGAUCCGAGUUCAAAUCUCGGUAGGACCU
This 72-nucleotide transfer RNA is filed under the name Saccoglossus kowalevskii. Its description in RNAcentral is "tRNA-Gln". It matches the Rfam family "tRNA". Rfam says of the family: Transfer RNA (tRNA) molecules are approximately 80 nucleotides in length. Their secondary structure includes four short double-helical elements and three loops (D, anti-codon, and T loops). Lineage: Eukaryota; Metazoa; Hemichordata; Enteropneusta; Harrimaniidae. The record is from RNAcentral.